UUUGAGUUGGGCAGCUGAGGAAGAUU
This 26-nucleotide non-coding RNA is filed under the name Cricetulus griseus (Chinese hamster). The record is from RNAcentral. Lineage: Eukaryota; Metazoa; Chordata; Mammalia; Rodentia; Cricetidae.